UGGGGAUACGGGUCGAAAAGACUCGCUAAUACCGCAUAUGACGAAAGUUGAAAGGAGUAAUCCGUCUAAAGAUGAGCCCGCGUCCGAUUAGCUAGUUGGUAGAGUAAAAGCCUACCAAGGCGACGAUCGGUAGCUGGUCUGAGAGGAUGAUCAGCCACAAUGGGACUGAGACACGGCCCAUACUCCUACGGGAGGCAGCAGUGGGGUAAUUUUACGCAAUGGGCGAAAGCCUGACGUAGCGACACCGCGUGAGCGAAGAACGCCCCGUUGGGGUGUAAAGCUCCGUCAGCUGGAACGAAAAAAUGACGGUACCAGCAGAGGAAGCAUCGGCUAACUACGUG
This 341-nucleotide ribosomal RNA is filed under the name uncultured bacterium. RNAcentral describes it as "bacterial SSU rRNA". It matches the Rfam family "Bacterial small subunit ribosomal RNA", at positions 137 to 507 of the family's 1533-position model. The record is from RNAcentral.